This is a long non-coding RNA of Balaenoptera ricei (Rice's whale), 468 nucleotides long. RefSeq lists it as uncharacterized. NCBI's taxonomy places the organism in Eukaryota, Metazoa, Chordata, Mammalia, Artiodactyla, Balaenopteridae. The record is from RefSeq and is a predicted model, not a curated record. The transcript is spliced from 3 exons.
AGCAGUUGGAUACUAAGAGAAAAAACAGGAAAAUCUACAUGAACGUUUCAGUAAACAUCUGCAGGUGGUAGAACACAAAAGAAAAACAAGCCACCACUUAAUCAGAACCACCUCUGGGCAAAGGAGGAAAGCCUGCUCCUAGCAGAGAGGCUUGAAUGGGCAAGAGCUGCAGCUGGUAACCGAGGGAUUCCUACGAGGACACACCCUGGCUUUUUUCGUUUCAUAUCAAUGUUCCUGGGAAUGUUUUUCUCAGAGCCGUGGAUUCAUAACAUGUGAUCGUCUUCCUCCCAUAUUCCAACCAGCAAUAUGAGGAGGUAGAACGCCACGAUGGCUAUCAGCCCUUCCACCUGGAAAGUGCUGGCUCCUGACAUCCUGCGCCACUUAAAGAAGAAGUACAUUGAAAUCGCGAGUUCACCUGUGGUUGCCAACAAGCGUCCUUUCCAUCACUCUAUUUCUAUUCAACAACUG